RNAcentral lists this transfer RNA (82 nucleotides) under Blattella germanica (German cockroach). Its description in RNAcentral is "tRNA-Ser (TGA) (tRNA-Ser-TGA-18-1)". It matches the Rfam family "tRNA". Rfam says of the family: Transfer RNA (tRNA) molecules are approximately 80 nucleotides in length. Their secondary structure includes four short double-helical elements and three loops (D, anti-codon, and T loops). Lineage: Eukaryota; Metazoa; Arthropoda; Insecta; Blattodea; Blattellidae. The record is from RNAcentral.
ACUGCGGUGUCCGAGUGGUUAAGGACUUGGACUUGAAAUCCAAUGGGUUAGACCCGCACAGGUUCGAGUCCUGUCCGCAGCG